Carassius gibelio (silver crucian carp) is the source of this 851-nucleotide long non-coding RNA. RefSeq lists it as uncharacterized. The transcript is spliced from 3 exons. Lineage: Eukaryota; Metazoa; Chordata; Actinopteri; Cypriniformes; Cyprinidae. The record is from RefSeq and is a predicted model, not a curated record.
CGGACAGGGCGGGGGUGGACGGGGACGGGGGAUCCACACUAGUAAUAUAAUUAAUAAUAGGCUAAAGUCAGUCACACACCUCGACUUUCUUCCAAAUAACGCACAUUUCAUUCAUAAUGUUAUAAUACAGGCCUAUAGUUCCUGCAAAUGAAACUAGGUAAUACAAAACGAUGAUGCGGUCAUCAAGGUGAAUUGGUUUAGUCUUGACUUCUGGUCCUGAGUGACAGUUGGGGGGAUGGGAAAUCUGUUGAUUGUCGAGUGCCAAAUAAACAGAGAUGGAGAAGAAAAGGUCAAAGCCAGGUGCCCAAUUUCGAAAAAAAAAGAAAAGAAGAAGAGGAGAAACGAGCAAAAGAUAAAGGGGCACUUCUAAAAUAUUUUGGAGCAUCCUCUGCCACUGGUCAGGAUGAGCCAACCACCUCCUCCGCUACACAUAUGUCUCCACAAAUAUCUGAUAUUGAGGAUGAAGACCUCUUUGCCUCUACUUCUACCCAGCAUGAUCUUUCAGAAAUGCCUGGAGCUGAACCCCCACUGAGCCCCACUGGCCCUCACAUCUGACUGACAGGAUUCAGACUGAGCUGGUUCACAGAGGACCAAGUAAAGUGCCACCUGGCUUUGUUUUCCCUAGGAAUGAGAGUAAUGGGAGAAGUUGCCACCACUAAUAUUUUAAGAAGACAUUAGUAAGUGGUGAAAAGAUGGCAAGAAUUGAUUUAUUCAAUUAAGAACAACAGCCUCUUUUGCUUCUGCUGCAAAUUGUUUUCCAAGAGGAACAUCAAUUUAACAAGUGCAGGAAUGGCAAAUUGGAAACAUGCAUGCAAUGAUCUCACAUCACAUGAAAACAGUUGUUAUAAUAA